UACGUAGGGACCAAGCGUUGUUCGGAUUUACUGGGCGUAAAGGGCGCGUAGGCGGCAUGACAAGUCACUUGUGAAAUCUCCGGGCUUAACUCGGAACGGUCAAGUGAUACUGUCGCGCUAGAGUGCGGAAGGGGCAAUCAGAAUUCUUGGUGUAGCGGUGAAAUGCGUAGAUAUCAAGAGGAACACCUGAGGUGAAGACGGGUUGCUGGGCCAACACUGACGCUGAGGCGCGAAAGCCAGGGGAGCAAACGGG
Molecule: ribosomal RNA, 253 nt
Filed under: uncultured bacterium
Lineage: Bacteria
Description: partial 16S ribosomal RNA
Rfam family: Bacterial small subunit ribosomal RNA
Source: RNAcentral